UACGGAGGUUGCGAGCGUUGUCCGGAAUCACUGGGCGUAAAGGGCGCGUAGGCGGCCUGAUAAGUAGGGGGUGAAAUCCUGCGGCUUAACCGCAGGGCUGCCUUCUAAACUGUCAGGCUCGAGCACAGUAGAGGCAGGUGGAAUUCCCGGUGUAGCGGUGGAAUGCGUAGAGAUCGGGAAGAACAUCAGUGGCGAAGGCGGCCUGCUGGGCUGUUGCUGACGCUGAGGCGCGACAGCGUGGGGAGCAAACAGG
Molecule: ribosomal RNA, 253 nt
Filed under: uncultured bacterium
Lineage: Bacteria
Description: partial 16S ribosomal RNA
Rfam family: Bacterial small subunit ribosomal RNA
Source: RNAcentral